Molecule: ribosomal RNA, 253 nt
Filed under: uncultured bacterium
Lineage: Bacteria
Description: partial 16S ribosomal RNA
Rfam family: Bacterial small subunit ribosomal RNA
Source: RNAcentral
UACGGGGGGGGCAAGCGUUGUUCGGAAUUACUGGGCGUAAAGGGCUCGUAGGCGGCCAACUAAGUCAGACGUGAAAUCCCUGGGCUUAACCUGGGAACUGCAGUCGAUACUGGCGGACUAGAGUACGGUAGAGGGUGGCGGAACUCCGGGUGUAGCGGUGAAAUGCGUAGAUAUCAGGAAGAACACCCGUGGCUAAGGCGGCUCUCUAGUACGGUACUGACGCUGAGACGCGAAAGCGUGGGGAGCAAACAGG